AGCGAACGCUGGCGGUAGGCCUAACACAUGCAAGUCGAACGGCAGCACAGUAAGAGCUUGCUCUUACGGGUGGCGAGUGGCGGACGGGUGAGGAAUACAUCGGACUCUACUUUUUCGUGGGGGUUAACGUAGGGAAACUUACGCUAAUACAGCAUACGACCUACGGGUGAAAGCAGGGGGUAUUCGGACCUUGCGCGAUUGAAUGAGCCGAUGUCGGAUUAGCUAGUUGGCGGGGUAACAGCCCACCAAUGCGACGAUCCGUAGCUGGUCUGAGGGGAGGAUCAGCCACUGAGGAGCUGACACACCGCCCAGACUCUUACGUGAGGCAGCAGCGGGGAAUAUAGGACAAUGUGCGCAAGCCUGAACCAUCCGUACCGGGUGGGUGAAGAAGGCCUGCGUGUGGUAUAGCCCUUUUGUUGUGAAAGAAAAGCAGCAGGUUAAAACCCGGCUGUUCUGACGGUACCCAAAGAAGAAGCACCGGCUAACUGCGU
This 491-nucleotide ribosomal RNA is filed under the name uncultured bacterium. Its description in RNAcentral is "partial 16S ribosomal RNA". It matches the Rfam family "Bacterial small subunit ribosomal RNA", at positions 29 to 506 of the family's 1533-position model. The record is from RNAcentral.